CACAAACAGCUAGGAUGUUGGCUUAGAAGCAGCCAUACAUUUAAAGAGUGCGUAAUAGCUCACUAGUCGAGUGAUCCUGCGCCGAAGAUAAACGGGGCUCAAACUUACCACCGAAGCUUUGGAAUUAGUAUAACUAAUUGGUAGAGGAGCAUUCUAUACAGGUAGAAGGAGGCGCGUAAGCAAAUCUGGACGGUAUAGAAGAGAGAAUGUUGGCAUGAGUAGCGUAAGGCGGGUGAGAAUCCCGUCCGCCGAAAAUCUAAGGUUUCCUGAGGAAGGUUCGUCCUCUCAGGGUAAGUCGGGACCUAAGCCGAGAGCGAACGCUGUAGGCGAUGGACAACAGGUUGAUAUUCCUGUACCACCAAGGAUUGUUUGAAUGAAGUGGGGACACAGAAGGAUAGAUUGAGCACGCCGUUGGUUGAGCGUGUCCAAGCAGCAAGGCUUGAAAGUAGGCAAAUCCGCUUUCUAUAAGGCUGAGCUGUGAUGGGGUGGUCGAAUGACCGGUAGCAAUCGAUUUCACGCUGUCAAGAAAAGCCGCUAAUGAGAUCCAAGGUGCCCGUACCGCAAACCGACACAGGUAGAUGAGGAGAGAAUCCUAAGGUGAGCGAGAGAACUAUUGUUAAGGAACUCGGCAAAAUAACCCCGUAACUUCGGGAGAAGGGGUGCCUGCUUCGGCAGGCCGCAGUGAAGAGGUCCAGGCAACUGUUUACCAAAAACACAGGUCUCUGCUAAAGCGAAAGCUGAUGUAUAGGGGCUGACGCCUGCCCGGUGCUGGAAGGUUAAGGGGAAGUGUUAGGGCAACCGAAGCACAGAACUUAAGCCCCAGUAAACGGCGGCCGUAACUAUAACGGUCCUAAGGUAGCGAAAUUCCUUGUCGGGUAAGUUCCGACCCGCACGAAAGGCGUAAUGAUCUGGGCACUGUCUCAACAAUAGACUCGGUGAAAUUGUAGUACCGGUAAAGAUGCCGGUUACCCGCAGCAGGACGGAAAGACCCCGUGGAGCUUCACUGUAGCUUGAUAUUGAUUUUCGGCAUUGCAUGUACAGGAUAGGUGGGAGACGUUGAGUUCAGCACGCCAGUGUUGGAGGAGUCACCGUUGGGAUACCACCCUUGUAAUGUUGGAAAUCUAACCUAGUACCGUGAUCCGGUACAGGGACAGUGUCAGGUGGGCAGUUUGACUGGGGCGGUCGCCUCCUAAAGAGUAACGGAGGCGCCCAAAGGUUCCCUCAGCGCGGACGGAAAUCGCGCGAAGAGUGCAAAGGCAAAAGGGAGCUUGACUGCGAGACAUACAGGUCGAGCAGGGACGAAAGUCGGGCUUAGUGAUCCGGUGGUUCCGAGUGGAAGGGCCAUCGCUCAACGGAUAAAAGCUACCCCGGGGAUAACAGGCUUAUACCCCCCAAGAGUUCACAUCGACGGGGGUGUUUGGCACCUCGAUGUCGGCUCGUCUCAUCCUGGGGCUGGAGUAGGUCCCAAGGGUUGGGCUGUUCGCCCAUUAAAGAGGUACGCGAGCUGGGUUCAGAACGUCGUGAGACAGUUCGGUCCCUAUCCGCUGUGGGCGUUGGAAAUUUGAGAGGAGCUAUCCUUAGUACGAGAGGACCGGGAUGGACAUACCUCUGGUGUACCGGUUGUUCUGCCAAGGGCAUAGCCGGGUAGCUACGUAUGGAAGGGAUAAGCGCUGAAAGCAUCUAAGUGCGAAGCCCACCUCAAGAUAAGAUUUCCUCCGAAAGGUAAGACCCGUGAGAGACUAUCACGUUGAUAGGUCAGAGGUGUAAGUACGGUAACGUAUUCAGCUGACUGAUACUAAUAGGUCGAACACUUGACCAA
RNAcentral lists this ribosomal RNA (1819 nucleotides) under human oral metagenome. RNAcentral describes it as "bacterial LSU rRNA". It matches the Rfam family "Bacterial large subunit ribosomal RNA", at positions 1084 to 2925 of the family's 2925-position model. The record is from RNAcentral.